RNAcentral lists this ribosomal RNA (600 nucleotides) under uncultured bacterium. Its description in RNAcentral is "bacterial SSU rRNA". It matches the Rfam family "Bacterial small subunit ribosomal RNA", at positions 100 to 729 of the family's 1533-position model. The record is from RNAcentral.
GGACGGGUGAGUAAUGUCUGAAACUGCUGAUGAGGGGAUACUACUGAACGUAGCUAUACGAUACGUCCAGACAAGAGGGGACCUCGGGCUCUGCAUCAGAUGUGCCAGAUGGGAUGCUAUAGGUGGGUACGGCUCACUAGCGACGAUCCUACUGUCUGAAGGAUGACCACCACACUGGAACUGAACACGGUCCAGACUCCUACGGGAGGCAGCAGUGGGGAAUAUUGCACAAUGGGCGCAAGCCUGAUGCAGCCAUGCCGCGUGUAUGAAGAAGGCCUUCGGGUUGUAAAGUACUUUCAGCGGGGAGGAAGGUGUUGUGGUUAAUAACCACAGCAAUUGACGUUACCCGCAAAAAGCACCGGCUAACUCCGUGCCAGCAGCCGCGGUAAUACGGGGGGUGCAAGCGUUAAUCGGAAUUACUGGGCGUAAAGCGCACGCAGGCGGUCUGUCAAGUCGGAUGUGAAAUCCCCGGGCUCAACCUGGGAACUGCAUUCGAAACUGGCAGGCUAGAGUCUUGUAAGGGGGGUAGAAAUUCCAGGGCGUACGGUGGAAAUGCGUAGAGAUCUGGGAGGAAUACCGGGUGGGCGAAAGGCGGCCCCC